This is a long non-coding RNA of Salmo salar (Atlantic salmon), 361 nucleotides long. RefSeq lists it as uncharacterized. The record is from RefSeq and is a predicted model, not a curated record. NCBI's taxonomy places the organism in Eukaryota, Metazoa, Chordata, Actinopteri, Salmoniformes, Salmonidae.
GUUUGCCAUUUACGGCAACACUUACAAGUUCAAUUCAGGGUCAAAAUCAUUGCUAUAUUUUGGAUGGUUAUUUUUGAACUGAUUGAUUGGUGGAUUACUGUAAUUGAAGGAACUAUGGGAAAGUUCUCCUUCCCAAGGCUCAUCAUAAGAAUGCCAUGGGCAAAUCGGACUGCACAGGACGAUUUCUGCACAGGAACUACUGAACUCCACAGGCCCAGAACACACCAGCCUCACAACUCCUCACAACUCCCCAGCCUUAAUGUGUGUAGGCAGGGCAAGGAGGACAUCGAUUCAACCCAGAAGAAGAGGAAAAAGAAGAGGCUAAAUGAGAAGGGAACCCAGGUUGAACUAGGCAUGCGGG